UGAGCAACCUGCCCCUGACUCUGGGAUAAGCGCUGGAAACGGCGUCUAAUACUGGAUAUGUGACGUGAUCGCAUGGUCUGCGUCUGGAAAGAUUUUUCGGUUGGGGAUGGGCUCGCGGCCUAUCAGCUUGUUGGUGAGGUAAUGGCUCACCAAGGCGUCGACGGGUAGCCGGCCUGAGAGGGUGACCGGCCACACUGGGACUGAGACACGGCCCAGACUCCUACGGGAGGCAGCAGUGGGGAAUAUUGCACAAUGGGCGAAAGCCUGAUGCAGCAACGCCGCGUGAGGGAUGACGGCCUUCGGGUUGUAAACCUCUUUUAGCAGGGAAGAAGCGAAAGUGACGGUACCUGCAGAAAAAGCGCCGGCUAACUACGUGCCAGCAGCCGCGGUAAUACGUAGGGCGCAAGCGUUAUCCGGAAUUAUUGGGCGUAAAGAGCUCGUAGGCGGUUUGUCGCGUCUGCUGUGAAAUCCCGAGGCUCAACCUCGGGCCUGCAGUGGGUACGGGCAGACUAGAGUGCGGUAGGGGAGAUUGGAAUUCCUGGUGUAGCGGUGGAAUGCGCAGAUAUCAGGAGGAACACCGAUGGCGAAGGCAGAUCUCUGGGCCGUAACUGACGCUGAGGAGCGAAAGGGUGGGGAGCAAACAGGCUUAGAUACCCUGGUAGUCCACCCCGUAAACGUUGGGAACUAGUUGUGGGGUCCAUUCCACGGAUUCCGUGACGCAGCUAACGCAUUAAGUUCCCCGCCUGGGGAGUACGGCCGCAAGGCUAAAACUCAAAGGAAUUG
This 783-nucleotide ribosomal RNA is filed under the name Microbacterium paraoxydans. RNAcentral describes it as "bacterial SSU rRNA". It matches the Rfam family "Bacterial small subunit ribosomal RNA", at positions 118 to 912 of the family's 1533-position model. Lineage: Bacteria; Bacillati; Actinomycetota; Actinomycetes; Micrococcales; Microbacteriaceae. The record is from RNAcentral.